Molecule: non-coding RNA, 30 nt
Filed under: Homo sapiens (human)
Lineage: Eukaryota; Metazoa; Chordata; Mammalia; Primates; Hominidae
Source: RNAcentral
UCAUCAGAGCUUCUGGACAGUGACGCCCUC